UAUAUAUGCUCCAUUCCAGUCUAUAUGUGUGACUUGCUCGUGGGCCUUGCUUGUCAAUGCAUUGCUGGUUCUGCCUGCUAUUAUAUCGGCCCUUUGUCGACCCUAAUGUAAUAGAGUAAUGUAGAGUAAUGUUCUUCCCUAAUGUAGAGUAAUGUUCUUUUUUCCACAUACACGUAUGUGGAAAAAAAGAACAUUACUCUAUCCAAAACAGAACAAACAGUGAUAGUAUGCUAACACGAGAGAGAGACACUAGGCCAUAUGCACCUAUCACAUAUUACCCAGAAGUGAAGAAAGUGUUAUGGAAAUAUACAAGACAAGGGAAGUAUAAGAUAGCCCUUAAAAGGGCCCUGACUCUUUUUAAUCAUAAAAGAAAUGAUGAUGACCUGGUUCCUAAAGGUAAGAAGGCCGGAGUCUACACCAUUCCUAUAUAUAACGAGGAUGAAGAUAUAC
Molecule: long non-coding RNA, 450 nt
Filed under: Androctonus crassicauda
Lineage: Eukaryota; Metazoa; Arthropoda; Arachnida; Scorpiones; Buthidae
Source: RNAcentral